This 323-nucleotide unclassified non-coding RNA is filed under the name soil metagenome. RNAcentral's name for it is "partial contains 5.8S ribosomal RNA, internal transcribed spacer 2, and large subunit ribosomal RNA". The stretch from base 1 to 120 matches the Rfam family "5.8S ribosomal RNA", at positions 35 to 154 of the family's 154-position model. The record is from RNAcentral.
GAUGAAGAACGUAGCGGAAUGCGAUAAGUAAUGCGAAUUGCAGAAUUCAGUGAGUCAUCGAAUCUUUGAACGCACAUUGCGCCCUGUGGUAUUCCGCAGGGCAUGCCUGUUCGAGCGUCAUUUCAACCCUCAAGCUCUGCUUGGUGUUGGGCCCUGCCCGCUGCGGCCGGCCCUAAAGACAGUGGCGGUGCCGCCUGGCCCUGAGCGUAGUACAUCUCUCGCUCCAGUGCCCGGUGGUAGCCUGCCAGAACCCCAACUCUCGUGGUUGACCUCGGAUCAGGUAGGGAUACCCGCUGAACUUAAGCAUAUCAAUAAGCGGAGGA